This 259-nucleotide ribosomal RNA is filed under the name Klebsiella planticola. Its description in RNAcentral is "Raoultella planticola partial 16S ribosomal RNA". It matches the Rfam family "Bacterial small subunit ribosomal RNA", at positions 522 to 780 of the family's 1533-position model. Lineage: Bacteria; Pseudomonadati; Pseudomonadota; Gammaproteobacteria; Enterobacterales; Enterobacteriaceae. The record is from RNAcentral.
AAUACGGAGGGUGCAAGCGUUAAUCGGAAUUACUGGGCGUAAAGCGCACGCAGGCGGUUUGUUAAGUCAGAUGUGAAAUCCCCGGGCUCAACCUGGGAACUGCAUUUGAAACUGGCAAGCUUGAGUCUUGUAGAGGGGGGUAGAAUUCCAGGUGUAGCGGUGAAAUGCGUAGAGAUCUGGAGGAAUACCGGUGGCGAAGGCGGCCCCCUGGACAAAGACUGACGCUCAGGUGCGAAAGCGUGGGGAGCAAACAGGAUUA